This 468-nucleotide ribosomal RNA is filed under the name uncultured bacterium. Its description in RNAcentral is "partial 16S ribosomal RNA". It matches the Rfam family "Bacterial small subunit ribosomal RNA", at positions 28 to 507 of the family's 1533-position model. The record is from RNAcentral.
GACGAACGCUGGCGGCGUGCUUAACACAUGCAAGUCGAACGGAAAGGCCCUGCUUUUGUGGGGUGCUCGAGUGGCGAACGGGUGUGUAACACGUGAGUAACCUGCCCUUGACUUUGGGAUAACUUCAGGAAACUGGGGCUAAUACCGGGUAGGAGCUCCUGCUGCAUGGUGGGGGUUGGAAAGUUUCGGCGGUUGGGGAUGGACUCGCGGCUUAUCAGCUUGUUGGUGGGGUAGUGGCUUACCAAGGCUUUGACGGGUAGCCGGCCUGAGAGGGUGACCGGCCACAUUGGGACUGAGAUACGGCCCAGACUCCUACGGGAGGCAGCAGUGGGGAAUAUUGCACAAUGGGCGGAAGCCUGAGGCAGCAACGCCGCGUGCGUGAUGACGGCCUUCGGGUUGUAAACCGCUUUCGCCUGUGACGAAGCGUGAGUGACGGUAAUGGGUAAAGAAGCACCGGCUAACUACGUG